Molecule: ribosomal RNA, 388 nt
Filed under: uncultured bacterium
Lineage: Bacteria
Description: bacterial SSU rRNA
Rfam family: Bacterial small subunit ribosomal RNA
Source: RNAcentral
AUUAAACGCUGGCGGCAUGCCUUACACAUGCAAGUCGAACGGCAGCACGGGGGCAACCCUGGUGGCGAGUGGCGAACGGGUGAGUAACGCAUCGGAACGUGCCCUGGAGUGGGGGAUAACGUAGCGAAAGUUACGCUAAUACCGCAUAUUCUGUGAGCAGGAAAGCAGAGGAUCGCAAGACCUUGCGCUCUGGGAGCGGCCGAUGUCGGAUUAGCUAGUUGGUGGGGUAAAGGCCUACCAAGGCGACGAUCCGUAGCGGGUCUGAGAGGAUGAUCCGCCACACUGGGACUGAGACACGGUCCAGACUCCUACGGGAGGCAGCAGUGGGGAAUUUUGGACAAUGGGGGGCAACCCUGAUCCAGCCAUGCCGCGUGAGUGAAGAAGGCCU